This 28-nucleotide non-coding RNA is filed under the name Drosophila melanogaster (fruit fly). The record is from RNAcentral. Lineage: Eukaryota; Metazoa; Arthropoda; Insecta; Diptera; Drosophilidae.
UUUGCCUGAGAGCUCCGGAAGGACGUAC